Molecule: unclassified non-coding RNA, 296 nt
Filed under: Hevea brasiliensis (rubber tree)
Lineage: Eukaryota; Viridiplantae; Streptophyta; Magnoliopsida; Malpighiales; Euphorbiaceae
Source: RNAcentral
ACUGUCUCCUUUCCGCCUGGUAUGUUUCUCGUUGCUUCAACUGCUUGCUGCUUUUUCGCUUUAUCUUUCUACCCUCCAAAGUUUGCUACUUUAAGUUUUUCUUCACCGUCUUUUGACAAUCUUGAUGAGGGUAAACUUGUCAAGAUGUUCUUCUUUGAAAGUCAGUUCUAAUAUGGGCUUUUUAUAAUCAGCAAUGGCCCAAGUGCAUAACCAUCCCCUACCUCCGUUCCUAUCCAUCCACAGAGAACAAACUUUUUAAGAACAUCCAAGAAGAUGUUAAAAUUAGUGUUCCAGAA